RNAcentral lists this transfer RNA (72 nucleotides) under bovine gut metagenome. It matches the Rfam family "tRNA". From Rfam's summary of the family: Transfer RNA (tRNA) molecules are approximately 80 nucleotides in length. Their secondary structure includes four short double-helical elements and three loops (D, anti-codon, and T loops). Further hydrogen bonds mediate the characteristic L-shaped molecular structure. tRNAs have two regions of fundamental functional importance: the anti-codon, which is responsible for specific mRNA codon recognition, and the 3' end, to which the tRNAs corresponding amino acid is attached (by aminoacyl-tRNA synthetases). tRNAs cope with the degeneracy of the genetic code in two manners: having more than one tRNA (with a specific anti-codon) for a particular amino acid; and 'wobble' base-pairing, i.e. permitting non-standard base-pairing at the 3rd anti-codon position. The record is from RNAcentral.
GGAGUUUAGCUCAGUUGGUUCAGAGCAUCUGCCUUACAAGCAGAGGGUCGGCGGUUCGACUCCGUCAACUCC